GAAUUCGCGGUGCUUUUCUCCCCGGAUAAUACGCUGGAGAUGGAAUUGCGUCGGGAAAGAGAGAGUUUUGGUGAACCGCAAGUGACCGGCGCGUGAGCCUGUAUGGAUCCGGUUCUCAGAAGAAGAGAUUUCAUGAUUGAUGAGUUUGAGGUCCGUUGGAUUUAGUGACUACUGAGUUGACUUAAGGGUGAAGGAGAUGAGAACACGUGUAGAAGUGCACGUGAGGGUAGCUAAGCUAUGGGCAGGAGCGUGGGGGUCGGCGAUCGGGAACUUUCUCCUGCUUUUCUCUGAGGAGUGAAAUGCACGCGUCACAGGAAAGGCGUGAGUGGAUGCUGACAUGGAUAGGCCACGUCGAAAGUAAUACCAGGAUGGGCCCAUGGUAUGGUUAUGGUACGGGACUGCCAUACCUCUCUGUCCCUGUCCUCAUUAGAUAAUAUUGUUUUUUUGCUUUUUGUUCUCUUUAGCUAAUAAAGUUGUUUCUGGGGUUAAUAGA
Molecule: long non-coding RNA, 493 nt
Organism: Ricinus communis (castor bean)
Lineage: Eukaryota; Viridiplantae; Streptophyta; Magnoliopsida; Malpighiales; Euphorbiaceae
Exons: 2
Source: RefSeq, a predicted model, not a curated record